GUCCACGCCUAACGAUGUACACUAGUUGUUGUGAGGCUCGACCUUGCAGUAAUGCAGUUAACACAUUAAGUGUACCGCCUGGGGAGUACGGUCGCAAGAUUAAACUCAAAGGAAUAGACGGGACCCGCACAAGCGGUGGAGCAUGUGGUUUAAUUCGACGAUACACGAAGAACCUUACCUGGACUUGACAUAGUAAGAACUUUCUAGAGAUAGAUUGGUGUCUGCUUGCAGAAACUUAUAUACAGGUGCUGCACGGCUGUCGU
This 263-nucleotide ribosomal RNA is filed under the name uncultured bacterium. RNAcentral describes it as "partial 16S ribosomal RNA". It matches the Rfam family "Bacterial small subunit ribosomal RNA", at positions 793 to 1055 of the family's 1533-position model. The record is from RNAcentral.